RNAcentral lists this long non-coding RNA (846 nucleotides) under Zonotrichia albicollis (white-throated sparrow). RNAcentral describes it as "lncRNA (ENSZALG00000010804.1)". Lineage: Eukaryota; Metazoa; Chordata; Aves; Passeriformes; Passerellidae. The record is from RNAcentral.
CAGACCUGACAGACAUUGUUUUUUCUGGUUUUAUUCCUGCCUCAUCUUCUAUUUGAUGUUCUUAGAUCCCAGUGUCAGGAUAGUGUGGUACUCAGUAAGUGGUCUCACAAGGCCUGCUCUUCUAGGGCUCAGAAGUCCACGAUGUGCCUACUACAGCUUUUGCUUCUACGUGUUGAAUCCUGGCAUACAGUCCCCAACAAACGGAUGCUUUGAUGCUGAUAGUUCAGCUCUGGAUUCCUCUUUUCCUCCAGACCAGAUGUUUGACUUCUCCCUGCUAAUGGUAACAUGGUGCUACCUCAUUAUACACCUCUCUCUGGAAAUGAUGCCAGGGCUGCUUCAAUGCCAGCCAAGAGCCUUGCAGACUCAAUGAGACAGCUGGCCUCCUCCAUGGGGAUGGGCUGCUUUACCUUUUGGAUCCAGGCAGUCACUGUGAGCUCAGAUCCAGCCUGCUGCAAAUGAUUUUUCAUAGGCAGGUGAGAACAAAAGGGCUUUGAAAACCUACUUCAAUAGAAUCUGGAGACAUGGAGCUCUCCUGAUUAAAAAAAAAAAAAACAAACAUAUACACAGUCCAGUUGCAUUUUCAUCUCAAUUGAUUUUUGUAUGAGAUGGAGAAGUGAAUUCGUCAAACAAAAGCGUUCAUAGAAAUCUUUACAUAAAAUUAAGUAGAUUUUUUCAUGCACAACAGCUGUGUUGUGUUUGCAAAAAUCAAAUAAUUCCCUUAUAAAGCUCACAAACUGUAAGUUGAUUGCUUUGAUCUUGUCCACAACAUAUGCUAAUCCUCAAAUAUCCAUGGAAGAAGUGGGUGAGAUAAUGCAAACAAAAUAAACACCUGGUUAAGAUAAAACA